This 253-nucleotide ribosomal RNA is filed under the name uncultured bacterium. Its description in RNAcentral is "partial 16S ribosomal RNA". It matches the Rfam family "Bacterial small subunit ribosomal RNA", at positions 524 to 776 of the family's 1533-position model. The record is from RNAcentral.
UACGAAGGUCCCAAGCGUUGUUCGGAAUCACUGGGCGUAAAGCGUACGUAGGCGGUUAGGUAAGUCAGAUGUGAAAGGCAGGGGCUCAACCCCUGGACUGCAUCCGAUACUGCCUGACUAGAGUCAUGGAGAGGUAAGUGGAAUUCUUGGUGUAGCAGUGAAAUGCGUAGAUAUCAAGAGGAAGACCAAUGGCGAAAGCAACUUACUGGACAUGUACUGACGCUGAGGUACGAAGGCUAGGGUAGCGAAAGGG